AUAACAAUAGAAAAUAAAUAAAAAAAUACUUACUUGUAUUCUUCUUCAGCCUUGACGUUUUGCAAGUGAGGUUUGAGCAAAUUUUAGAGAAAGUGAUGGAAGGAAAAGGGGGACCGAAGAAGAUGGAUGAUGGAGAAGAACAAAUUAGUGUGGAACUGAAUAGGGUUGCUAUGUUAAGUAUUAACCAACGCAGGAGAGAGAGUGGGAGUCACACAUGCAUGGAAAACAUCAAUGACUGUGACGGGAGUCUUAUACACUUGAAUAUAAAAUUGAUUUAUUUAAUUAGCUUAGGUGUCAAAUUAAUUAGCUACUCUUUAAUCAGUUAGUAGUUUGUUAUAAUUUUAGUGCAGUCAGUUAUUUAACAUGUGAAAUGUAGUUGUGUGUGGCUGAGAUAUAAGGAAAGUGCACUUUUAUAGUUAGUUAGGUUUUCUCAUUUUUUUCCUUUUAGCUCAAAUAAGAAGUUCCAUCUUCUUCCCUCGACUUUCUUCAGUUUUCUCCAAUUCAAUUGAACAUUCUCUCUGCCAAAUUUCUCUAUAACUUGCAGAUUGCUCAGAUAACAAAUUUGUACAUGAUGCGGUGAGUAUGAAAGCAAUCAAGCACAGAUAGCAGAAUUGAAGAAACGUUGAAAGGAGUUUCCUGAUCCGUAAUCCUUUUCUUCAAUCUACCUCCGUUCUUUUAAAAUUUCUUCUCUCUCUUUCUUUAUGUCCCCUUCUAUGAGACUUGCACAAUAGAGAUUGAUGAGAUUUUGUUCGCUUCACUGAAUUUUAUACAAGUGGAAGUGGCGUUUUUUAUCAACGAGUCUCAAAGAAGAAGUUCUGACUCUUUGCUGCUCUUAGAUUCAUUGAUUCCUCCUAAUGGAAGAUCAUUCAUUGAGAAAUCGGACUUCAAAAGGUGGCUCUAACAAUCAGAGCGGCUCAAUGAAAAUGGAUGUGAAUGCUUUGGCACAUCUUCUGAAUCAGCUGUCAAAUCUUCAAGCUCAAAUGGCGUGAAGCAAUAUGAGUUUGACUCAAGAUCCUUCCAGUCCCUACUUCAUUCAUCCUAGAGAAAAUUCAGAGAGUGUGACCUGGAGCAAUGUUGCUUUCAAUUUGUGGGACGAUUUGAGACAUCGAUACUAUAGAGGUGAUAGGUUCAGGAUUGUGGAAUUGCAAGAAGAACUAUUCGUUGCAAAGCAAGGGGAUCUAAAUGUGACGGCCUAUUUUACCAAAUUGAAACACAUUUGGGAAGAAGUCAACAAUUUUUGACAGAUUCCGGGCUGUGUAAUGUGUUCUGAGAGAUGUGCUUGUAGAUUAACAAAAAUAAGAGAGUUCAGAGAUGAGGAUUAAGUCACAAGACUCCUAAGAGGACUGAAUGAGCAGUACUCAACCGUGAGGUCACAAUAAUGCUAAUGACACCCUUGCCUAAUGUAAACCAAUAAGUGUUCUCAAUGUUACAAGAUACUGUUUAAUUCAGCUCAGAGCAAGAAUUCCCCUCAAAUGCAAGACUCCUUUGUUGGUCAAGACAGAGGAAGAGGCCAUGGGAGAAUCACUUCAGCAGGCAGAGAAAGAGGUGCAAAGAUGAUGUGCUCAUAUUGCGGAAAGGAAGGGCAUACUGAGGACGCUGUUACAAGAAACAUGGAUAUCCUCCAAAUCUGAAACCACGGCAACAGUACAGUGCUCACACAAACCACAUAUUCACUGAAGAGAAUGAUGAAGAUUUCAGUGAUAAGCAGACUCAGUCUACUUGUCACCAAGAAGUCAGUGGCACACAUAGUUCUGAAUUUACUCUAGAGCAUAGAUUAGCAUUGCUAGACCUUCUCAAAGGAAAAGGUGUUCAGCAGCAACCUCAUAAUGCAAAAUAGGUUUUAACAAAUUCUGUGCAAACCCCUAGCCAAGGUAAAACUAUUUUACUGCAAUUUAGCUCAAAAAUCAUGAGUUUAUGAAGCCAAAAUCAACAAAUUGGGUCAUUGAUUCAGGUGCCACCGAUCAUGUCACCUUCAAUUUAAAGGAUUUUUAAACCUUUCAAAAGAUAGAACCUAUAACAGUGAAAAUGUCCAAUGGCAUUGAAACAAUAAGUGACACUAUUAGAACUGUUGUAUUCA
Long non-coding RNA from Arachis ipaensis, 2077 nucleotides. RefSeq lists it as uncharacterized. NCBI's taxonomy places the organism in Eukaryota, Viridiplantae, Streptophyta, Magnoliopsida, Fabales, Fabaceae. The record is from RefSeq and is a predicted model, not a curated record.